CACCUCUAGCAUUUCUAGUAUUAGAGGCACUGCCUGCCCAGUGACAUCUGUUUAAACGGCCGCGGUAUCCUAACCGUGCAAAGGUAGCAUAAUCACUUGUUCCCUAAAUAGGGACUUGUAUGAACGACCACACGAGGGUUUUACUGUCUCUUACUUCCAAUCAGUGAAAUGGACCUUCCCAUGAAGAGGCGGGAAUAACCAAAUAAGACGAGAAGACCCUAUGGAGCUUUAAUUAACUGACUCACAAAAAAUAAUAUACAAACCUAACCCUCAGGAACAACAAAACUUUUGAUUGAGUCAGCAAUUUCGGUUGGGGUGACCUCGGAGAACAAAACAACCUCCGAGUGAUUUAAAUCCAGACUAACCAGUCAAAAUAUAUAAUCACUUAUUGAUCCAAACCAUUGAUCAACGGAACAAGUUACCCUAGGGAUAACAGCGCAAUCCUAUUCCAGAGUCCAUAUCGACAAUUAGGGUUUACGACCUCGAUGUUGGACCAAGACAUCCUAAUGGUGCAACCGCUAUUAAGGGUUCGUUUGUUCAACGAUUAAAGUCUU
RNAcentral lists this ribosomal RNA (554 nucleotides) under Equus caballus (horse). RNAcentral's name for it is "partial large subunit ribosomal RNA". It matches the Rfam family "Bacterial large subunit ribosomal RNA", at positions 1816 to 2597 of the family's 2925-position model. The record is from RNAcentral. Lineage: Eukaryota; Metazoa; Chordata; Mammalia; Perissodactyla; Equidae.